RNAcentral lists this ribosomal RNA (473 nucleotides) under uncultured bacterium. RNAcentral describes it as "bacterial SSU rRNA". It matches the Rfam family "Bacterial small subunit ribosomal RNA", at positions 28 to 517 of the family's 1533-position model. The record is from RNAcentral.
GACGAACGCUGGCGGCGCGCCUAACACAUGCAAGUCGAACGAAGCUGUUUUCGGACAGCUUAGUGGCGGACGGGUGAGUAACACGUGAAGAACCUGCCUUACAGAGGGGGACAACAGUUGGAAACGACUGCUAAUACCGCAUAACACCAUGAGAUGGCAUCAUCUUGUGGUCAAAGGAGCAAUCCGCUGUAAGAUGGCUUCGCGUCCGAUUAGACAGUUGGCGGGGUAACGGCCCACCAAAUCAACGAUCGGUAGCCGGACUGAGAGGUUGAUCGGCCACAUUGGGACUGAGACACGGCCCAGACUCCUACGGGAGGCAGCAGUGGGGAAUAUUGGCACAAUGGAGGAAACCCUGAUGCAGCGACGCCGCGUGAGGGAAGACGGGUCCUCUGGAUUGGUAAACCUCUGUCUUCGGGGACGAAACGAGACGGUACCUAACAAGAAAGCACCGGCUAACUACGUGCCAGCAGCCG